GACGAACGCUGGCGGCGUGCUUAACACAUGCAAGUCGAACGGAAAGGCCCUGCUUUUGUGGGUUGCUCGAGUGGCGAACGGGUGAGUAACACGUGAGUAACCUGCCCUUGACUUUGGGAUAACUUCUGGAAACUGGGGCUAAUACCGGAUAGGAGCUCCUGCUGCAUGGGGGGGGUUGGAAAGUUUCGGCGGUUGGGGAUGGACUCGCGGCUUAUCAGCUUGUUGGUGGGGUAGUGGCUUACCAAGGCUUUGACGGGUAGCCGGCCUGAGAGGGUGACCGGCCACAUUGGGACUGAGAUACGGCCCAGACUACUACGGGAGGCAGCAGUGGGGAAUAUUGCACAAUGGGAGGAAGCCUGAUGCAGCAACGCCGCGUGCGGGAUGACGGCCUUCGGGUUGUAAACCGCUUUCGCCUGUGACGAAGAGUGAGUGACGGUAAUGGGUAAAGAAGCACCGGCUAACUACGUG
RNAcentral lists this ribosomal RNA (468 nucleotides) under uncultured bacterium. RNAcentral describes it as "partial 16S ribosomal RNA". It matches the Rfam family "Bacterial small subunit ribosomal RNA", at positions 28 to 507 of the family's 1533-position model. The record is from RNAcentral.